CUUAAGGAAUUGACGGGACCGCACAAGCGGUGGAUGAUGUGGAUUAAUUCGAUGCAACGCGAAAACCUUACCUACCCUUGACAUCCCGGGAAUUCUCUUGAAAGAGAGAAGUGCCCUUCGGGAGCCGGAGACAGGUGCUGCAUGGCUGUCGUCAGCUCGUGUCGUGAGAUGUUGGGUUAAGUCCCGCAACGAGCGCAACCCUUAUCUUUAGUUACCAUCAUUCAGUUGGGGACUCUAAAGAUACUGCCCCGGUAAACGGGGAGGAAGGUGGGGAUGACGUCAAGUCCUCAUGGCCUUUAUAUCCAGGGCUACACACGUGCUACAAUGGGCUGUACAAAAGGUUGCGAACCCGCGAGGGUAAGCCAAUCCUAUAAAGCAGUUCUAAGUUCGGAUUGGAGUCUGCAACUCGACUCCAUGAAGCUGGAAUCGCUAGUAAUCGCGGAUCAGCACGCCGCGGUGAAUACGUUCCCGGGCCUU
RNAcentral lists this ribosomal RNA (477 nucleotides) under uncultured Desulfobacteraceae bacterium. RNAcentral's name for it is "bacterial SSU rRNA". It matches the Rfam family "Bacterial small subunit ribosomal RNA", at positions 904 to 1382 of the family's 1533-position model. The record is from RNAcentral. Lineage: Bacteria; Pseudomonadati; Thermodesulfobacteriota; Desulfobacteria; Desulfobacterales; Desulfobacteraceae.